Molecule: long non-coding RNA, 181 nt
Organism: Dendroctonus ponderosae (mountain pine beetle)
Lineage: Eukaryota; Metazoa; Arthropoda; Insecta; Coleoptera; Curculionidae
Exons: 3
Source: RefSeq, a predicted model, not a curated record
GGCAACGCAGCUUCCAGCGUUUUCGGGACGCCUAGUUCGAUACUUCGAGAACGAACGGCAAUAGUCGAUUGGGCUAUGGAAAUCCCGAAAACUGGAGAAUCUUCGCAGGUCGUCGAGAGCCCUUGCGCGCUAAUAUAAAUACGGCAAGGCGACCGGAGUGAAUUGAUUCAUUCGGAGUUAA